Molecule: microRNA precursor, 103 nt
Filed under: Marmota monax (woodchuck)
Lineage: Eukaryota; Metazoa; Chordata; Mammalia; Rodentia; Sciuridae
Source: RNAcentral
AGUGGGAUAGCUGGGUCAAAAAGUGGUUUCAUUCAAAGUUUUCUAAGAAAUCUCCAUAUUGCUUUCCAGAUUGGUUGCACCAAUUUGUAGUCCCACUAGCAAU